GCCAGUAAUUCAAUGUAGAAACGCCACUGAGUACAGAACACUCUUCAUCGUCUGGUCGCUUGGCCAUUUGGGAAUCAGCAAAUAGAGGGAGUCAUGGAUGAGAAUUUCGAGCAGUUCUUGCGGUCAACAGAGGUCCCUCAAGCGGACAUCAUGCACAUGAAAAGAGACAAGGUCAACAGUUUCUGAAAGGAGCCCAGACUGUCCUCUCCCCAGCCAGUUUCACCAGCUUGCCUGGGGGGAGGGACACCAAGGCUUUUCGGCCAGGCGAGAGACAUAGUCCCUCCAUUGUGUUAUUGGACAUGCCUGAGACAACUACCCAGGAGGAGUUAGUUUGGCCUCUGUGACAUCCAAGAGGCAUUUUGACCAUGAUGUUUUCAUAAAAUGGCUUGGGGAUGUGGGCGUGGAGUUUGUGAUGAAACGGGAAGUCUGGGUUGAAGGCUUAGGGAUGCCUGAAAUGUGAGCUGAAUCUGAGCUGUUUCCAGUGAGUUUUGUGUGAGAUUGUGGUAAGGUUCGAUGAAGCCCCCAUGAAAUGUUUUAAAAAAAAACAGCCAGACUAUGUUUUACCUACAGGUAUAAAAUGUGAGAUGCCUAUCUAACACUCCAGCAUGCACAAAAAAGUGUCUUAGAGCCAUGACCUAAACCCAGCAGGGAGUCAGCCAUCAAAUUUUGAUGGUUGUUGUGCCAUUUACAAGGUCAUAUUCGAAUUAACUUGUCCUAGGGGAUUAAUUGAACCGACUUCAGACUUGAUUAACUUAUACGAAAGAAAGGCAUGGCUAGUGGCACGGUGAAGUUUGAUGUUUUGAAAUAACUCACACUGAACUGUAUCUUAUCAAUCUGCACCAAACUUCGGGUGUUGGAAAAGAUUACAAACCUCAUACUCAUAGCAAUACCUGCUGGGAAAUGGUCAAAAUGGCCACACGCCCUGAAUUGUGCAAGUGUGCAAAAGUCUGCUCAAUGCUGCUUGCAGCUUUAAUUAUAUUUUUCACCUUGUAGGGGCAUAAUCUCACAUUAUUACAUGUGUUCAACUGGAUCAGGUUCACUUUUUCAAUACCGGUGAACUUUGAUUUCCUAUUACAUAUAAUUUGUUCUUCUGAAAAGAACAAAUGACUCAAUUCAGUUUAUUCAGUUCAACAAAUCACUCUUUAUACUUCAAGAUAAAGUUUAUUAGGAAAAAACUCCAAAAUUGUUGCUGAUAAUUUAGAACAGUCACUUAAAUGACAAACCUGCAAACAUGAAAACAUAAUAA
Long non-coding RNA from Scatophagus argus, 1246 nucleotides. RefSeq lists it as uncharacterized. The transcript has 2 exons. NCBI's taxonomy places the organism in Eukaryota, Metazoa, Chordata, Actinopteri, Scatophagidae. The record is from RefSeq and is a predicted model, not a curated record.